This 73-nucleotide transfer RNA is filed under the name Myotis brandtii (Brandt's bat). It matches the Rfam family "tRNA". Rfam says of the family: Transfer RNA (tRNA) molecules are approximately 80 nucleotides in length. Their secondary structure includes four short double-helical elements and three loops (D, anti-codon, and T loops). The record is from Rfam by way of RNAcentral. Lineage: Eukaryota; Metazoa; Chordata; Mammalia; Chiroptera; Vespertilionidae.
GCCGGUGUUGCUCAGUGGAUAGAGCAUCAGUCUGUAGACUGAAGGAUCGCAGGUUCAAUUCCGGUCAGGGCCA